GACGAACGCUGGCGGCGUGCCUAAUACAUGCAAGUAGAACGCUGAAGGAGGAGCUUGCUUCUCCGGAUGAGUUGCGAACGGGUGAGUAACGCGUAGGUAACCUGCCUGGUAGCGGGGGAUAACUAUUGGAAACGAUAGCUAAUACCGCAUAACAGUAGAUGUUGCAUGACAUUUGCUUAAAAGGUGCAAUUGCAUCACUACCAGAUGGACCUGCGUUGUAUUAGCUAGUUGGUGAGGUAACGGCUCACCAAGGCGACGAUACAUAGCCGACCUGAGAGGGUGAUCGGCCACACUGGGACUGAGACACGGCCCAGACUCCUACGGGAGGCAGCAGUAGGGAAUCUUCGGCAAUGGACGGAAGUCUGACCGAGCAACGUCGCGUGAGUGAAGAAGGUUUUCGGAUCGUAAAGCUCUGUUGUAAGAGAAGAACGAGUGUGAGAGUGGAAAGUUCACACUGUGACGGUAUCUUACCAGAAAGGGACGGCUAACUACGUG
Molecule: ribosomal RNA, 495 nt
Filed under: uncultured bacterium
Lineage: Bacteria
Description: partial 16S ribosomal RNA
Rfam family: Bacterial small subunit ribosomal RNA
Source: RNAcentral